RNAcentral lists this ribosomal RNA (468 nucleotides) under uncultured bacterium. Its description in RNAcentral is "partial 16S ribosomal RNA". It matches the Rfam family "Bacterial small subunit ribosomal RNA", at positions 28 to 507 of the family's 1533-position model. The record is from RNAcentral.
GACGAACGCUGGCGGCGUGCUUAACACAUGCAAGUCGAACGGAAAGGCCCUGCUUUUGUGGGGUGCUCGAGUGGCGAACGGGUGAGUAACACGUGAGUAACCUGCCCUUGACUUUGGGAUAACUUCAGGAAACUGGGGCUAAUACCGGAUAGGAGCUCCUGCUGCAUGGUGGGGGUUGGAAAGUUUCGGCGGUUGGGGAUGGACUCGCGGCUUAUCAGCUUGUUGGUGGGGUAGUGGCUUACCAAGGCUUUGACGGGUAGCCGGCCUGAGAGGGUGACCGGCCACGUUGGGACUGAGAUGCGGCCCGGACUCCUACGGGAGGCAGCAGUGGAGAAUAUUGCACAAUGGGCGGAAGCCUGAUGCAGCAACGCCGCGUGCGGGAUGACGGCCUUCGGGUUGUAAUCCGCUUUCGCCUGUGACGAAGCGUGAGUGACGGUAAUGGGUAAAGAAGCACCGGCUAACUACGUG